RNAcentral lists this unclassified non-coding RNA (312 nucleotides) under plant metagenome. RNAcentral's name for it is "partial contains 5.8S ribosomal RNA, internal transcribed spacer 2, and large subunit ribosomal RNA". The stretch from base 1 to 103 matches the Rfam family "5.8S ribosomal RNA", at positions 51 to 154 of the family's 154-position model. The record is from RNAcentral.
AAAUGCGAUAAUUAAUGUGAAUUGCAGAAUUCAGUGAAUCAUCGAGUCUUUGAACGCACAUUGCGCCCCCUGGUAUUCCGGGGGCAUGCCUGUCCGAGCGUCAUUGCUGCCCUCAAGCACGGCUUGUGUGUUGGGCUUCCGUCCCUGGCAACGGGGACGGGCCCAAAAGGCAGUGGCGGCACCAUGUCUGGUCCUCGAGCGUAUGGGGCUUUGUCACCCGCUCCCGUAGGUCCAGCUGGCAGCUAGCCUCGCAACCAAUCUUUUUAACCAGGUUGACCUCGGAUCAGGUAGGGAUACCCGCUGAACUUAAGC